CUCUCAGGGACAUUCUCUUGGCCGGAUGAUGUGCCGGAGGUAGAAGCUGAUGGAUUCGGCUGUCCGAGAAAGGUACUCGCGUAAGAGUUUUUAGGCGCAAGGUUCCUAAGUCUCUGUCUACCGCCAGCCAUAGCAAUAUCGUCAAUCUGGAAAAAAAAAAGAUGGUUAUAAACAAUUCAAAUUUUUUAUAUAAAAAUAAUCUAAACCUAUUCUAAUUUCAUCAUAAUCUAACUCCAUCCUAAUCUACUUCCAUCCUAAACUAAUUCCAAACCCA
This 274-nucleotide long non-coding RNA is filed under the name Brassica napus (rape). RNAcentral describes it as "long non-coding RNA (BNAP_LNC020274)". Lineage: Eukaryota; Viridiplantae; Streptophyta; Magnoliopsida; Brassicales; Brassicaceae. The record is from RNAcentral.